AAACGUCGCGUUUAAAAGCGUGGAGAAGAGGAAAUGAGCAAUGACGAUGUUGCGUUUCGCAGUGUUCUUUUUCCCUAAAUCGUUUUAGGUUUUCCAGAAUUUCUUGUGAUUUUUCAACCGUCGCAUUCCUCCAUUUUCCCGUUUCGGUAUAUUGCGAAAUCAGUGAUUCUUGCAAAAGUGGUAUUGCAAUACCAGAUAUUUCAUUUCAACCAACCACUGAAGCAACUGAAGCAGCCGUAAUGGGUAUAAUUAGGAGUAGCUUCCUUUUCAUUGCUGGGACGACUUUUGGGAUUUACUUGGUUCAGAAUUAUCAAAUUCCUAAUUUGAGGAAUCUAGCAGACACUGCCUUGUUACAUGCAAAGCAAGUUGAGGAAAAAUAUCGAAAAUCUAAGAAGAAGAGCGAUGAUGAUUAACCAUGAUUAGAAUCAUCACCUCCCCUUAUUAAUCAGGUUCUGAUUUUUGUAUCUUUUGAAUAUUUGUCCUGCAUUUUAUAGAUCAUAGGAUGAGGUACCCUUAUUAACUAGAGCACUUAGAAAACACAAAUUAUGGAAGAUCUUUAUAGAAGGAAGUUUUCUUUGCAUUUACAAACACAUUAAAUCCAAUUUUCACGAGAAUUGUUUUCAUUCUUCUGUCUUCUGGUUGUAGUGGCAUGAUGAAUAUUGAGGGUUGUUGUUGACUUGUUUGUUCUAAUCCCUGUAAGUGUAAUUAAAGAUCUGCUUAUAUUUGCAAUAAAACAGUGUUAUUGCACUGUUAUUGGUUUAUUAUAAUCAAAUAUUGUAUUUAA
Long non-coding RNA from Vigna unguiculata (cowpea), 784 nucleotides. NCBI's taxonomy places the organism in Eukaryota, Viridiplantae, Streptophyta, Magnoliopsida, Fabales, Fabaceae. The record is from RefSeq and is a predicted model, not a curated record.